AGCUGCGCAGGCCUAACACAUGCAAGUCGAGCGGUAGUAGAGAAGCUUGCUCUCUCUUGAGAGCGGCGGACGGGUGAGUAAUGCCUAGGAAUCUGCCUGGUAGUGGGGGAUAACGCUCGGAAACGGACGCUAAUACCGCAUACGUCCUACGGGAGAAAGCAGGGGACCUUCGGGCCUUGCGCUAUCAGAUGAGCCUAGGUCGGAUUAGCUAGUUGGUGAGGUAAUGGCUCACCAAGGCGACGAUCCGUAACUGGUCUGAGAGGAUGAUCAGUCACACUGGAACUGAGACACGGUCCAGACUCCUACGGGAGGCAGCAGUGGGGAAUAUUGGACAAUGGGCGAAAGCCUGAUCCAGCCAUGCCGCGUGUGUGAAGAAGGUCUUCGGAUUGUAAAGCACUUUAAGUUGGGAGGAAGGGCAUUAACCUAAUACGUUAGUGUUUUGACGUUACCGACAGAAUAAGCACCGGCUAACUCUGUGCCAGCAGCCGCGGUAAUACAGAGGGUGCAAGCGUUAAUCGGAAUUACUGGGCGUAAAGCGCGCGUAGGUGGUUUGUUAAGUUGGAUGUGAAAUCCCCGGGCUCAACCUGGGAACUGCAUUCAAAACUGACAAGCUAGAGUAUGGUAGAGGGUGGUGGAAUUUCCUGUGUAGCGGUGAAAUGCGUAGAUAUAGGAAGGAACACCAGU
Molecule: ribosomal RNA, 684 nt
Filed under: Pseudomonas sp.
Lineage: Bacteria; Pseudomonadati; Pseudomonadota; Gammaproteobacteria; Pseudomonadales; Pseudomonadaceae
Description: bacterial SSU rRNA
Rfam family: Bacterial small subunit ribosomal RNA
Source: RNAcentral